AUGCAAGGGGGCAAGAGAGGCAGUGAAGGAGGAAAUGGGAGGGUGGAGGCUGUUCAGCUGAGCCAGCUAACUUCCUGGACACAGGAAAGAGAGAGAGAAGACUGGUUGUGAGGAAGGAGGGGGAGAAUCAGUUCAGGCAAUUUUUACUUACCCAAGGUUCUUUCCCCUGGGUCAGGCUUGCCCAGGCUCGACUGUUGGGACUGACUGGACUGCAGUCAAUGGAGUCUUGAAGAGGUCCUGCUUCAUGGCAUAGCUGGACCUCUCACAUGGUCCUCCUCCUCCUCUACCUCCUCCUUGUCCUCACUGUUCAUGCCAGGGGCCUGAGACUCAGGCUCCUUGGAGGUAUCCAUAGUGGUGUGCAGGGUAGCAGGGGGUUCUCCCCCAAGUACGGCAUGCAGCUCUUUGUAAAAGCAGCAUUCUGAAGUUCAGCACCAGAUUGAUUGCGGCCUUCUUGGCUUUCUUUUAUUCCUGCCGCAGAUCCUCCAUCGUUGUGCCACAAUGCUGCUGAUCCCUGUCAUUUCCCUUCCCCUGCAGCCCCUGUGCAAUAGAUGUCCAUGUUUCUACAGAUGGUCCAUUGCUGUGCUUGCACAGCAUCUCCCCACAAGCGGAGGAGAUCCAAUAUCUCCUGUAUACUACAUGCCGGAGUGUGUCAGGAGCAUGUAACUGGCAUGGUCAGCUGGCAGUUGCACACAACAAUGGAGGCCUGCUAGGUGUGCUCAUCCAGAUAGGCAAUCAGGAAAAGUCUUUUCAAAAAUUCACAUAGUUUUAAAUGGAGGAGGAGGGGAGCGUCUGGUCGUGACCCCUGGGCAGUGGAUUUAACAAUUGUGACCAGAUCAAUCAGUGUCAGACAUUUUUACCAUAUUUGCUAUAAAUGGUUGUGUGGUCUUCUCUGCACUUGUAUUCAGGAACUUUAAUGAUAACAUCAGUGACAGCAAGAGCACAAGACAAUUUAAGAAAUAAACAUCUUCUGCAUUCCUUAUAUAACAUCAACAACAGGAUCAGUUGGUUAGCCAUGAUUUUUUCCAUGAUGCAUCACAAUAGUUCUUAGUUAGUGUUCAAGACAAAGUCAGGAUUGUCCCCAUUGGUCUGAUAACCUCCUCUGAAGAAAGUGUCAUUCUGAUUACAACAGUGAGAGUGCAAAAUCACACAUUUCUCAGUGAAUUUUGGGCAUGAUCGAAAGCCAACUUAGGUCUCUUAUUAACUUCAGUGGACAGUGGAUGAGACCCUUGAACACAACUUCACCACUAUUAAGAACCUUGCUGCAGCAACUGGCUGCAAAGGCUGCUGGAAAGUUUUGAUGCUUUCAGAGUAAAGCUUUACCGUUUCUUUGCCCAGAACAAUGGUUAUUCCAGCUAUUAGUUCCUACUUUUUAUACUCUAAUAAAUGUGUUAGUCU
Long non-coding RNA from Chelonia mydas (Green sea turtle), 1395 nucleotides. RefSeq lists it as uncharacterized. The record is from RefSeq and is a predicted model, not a curated record. The transcript is spliced from 3 exons. NCBI's taxonomy places the organism in Eukaryota, Metazoa, Chordata, Testudines, Cheloniidae.